CGGCCAUGACCAUGCUGAAUAUACCGGUUCUCCUUCGAUCACCGAAGCCAAGCAUCAUCUGGCUGCGGUCAGUACUCUGGGAGGAUGACCACCUGGGAACACCACGUGCCGUU
This 113-nucleotide ribosomal RNA is filed under the name Caerostris extrusa. The record is from RNAcentral. Lineage: Eukaryota; Metazoa; Arthropoda; Arachnida; Araneae; Araneidae.